Molecule: long non-coding RNA, 453 nt
Organism: Nerophis lumbriciformis (worm pipefish)
Lineage: Eukaryota; Metazoa; Chordata; Actinopteri; Syngnathiformes; Syngnathidae
Source: RefSeq, a predicted model, not a curated record
AUGUGAACUUGGUCUUCAUUGGCACCACCACUAUUGGCACUUUCACCGCCAAUCGUCCUACUGUGAGGAGCCCAAUCCAGGCUGCGGGCUAAAACUGACUUGGACCAGUUUGGGAGAUUCACUAUCACAGAUGAUCAUAAAAGCUCAGCAAGGAGCAUCUCGAGACCAAAUGAAGAGGAGGCAGUCGGAGCCUUGCAAAGUGUAACACUGUGCACUCGGCAGCACUCACCACCCACACAUGCAGUGUGAGAACGCGUCUGCCCGCUUGAACGCUGGGAAACUGAGAGGCAGAUCUGAGGGGAUUGCAGCAGCAAAGAGGAGGAAUAAAUUGGAAAAAAGGACAAAUCGAUGUUUGGAGGAGGGAGCGACAAACAGACCCUCCAACCUCUUGACCACACACACACUCACACACACUACACACUCACACACACACACACCUUAAGUUAGCACGUU